Molecule: long non-coding RNA, 678 nt
Filed under: Homo sapiens (human)
Lineage: Eukaryota; Metazoa; Chordata; Mammalia; Primates; Hominidae
Description: HSALNT0375130
Source: RNAcentral
CUUUUUCCAGCACCCAGCCUGUUAUUCCGCCUUUCAUAUUCAUACGGCAGAUGUAAGUCCAAAACAGAAAGGCCUUGCCUAGGAAAGUGAAUGAUAAGCAAAUCUAAUUGAGAAAAAAACCAACCAGAGUCAGUGUCCAGUAAUGGCUCUGCAAUGCGCAGCCUCCGAAUGUGACGACCACAGGCUCUGCUUGCCUUUUACCUGACUGCCAGCACCCUGCAGAGCAGCAUCAAAGUUCUGGAGGCCAGAAAUUUGAAAUGAGUCUUAUGGAGCUGAAAUCAAGCACAAACCAAAGCUGGGCUUCAUCUGGAUGCUCUAUGAAAGAUUCCUUUGCUCGCCUCUUCCAAUUCCUGGUGGUUGCUGGCAUUCCUUGCAUUGUAGACUCGUCAUCCCAACGUCUUCCUCCUUGGCCCCAUUGCCUUCUCCUCUCCUGUGUGGGCAUCAUCAACUCUCCCUUUCCCUCCCUCUUAAAAGGAUAUGAAUGUGACUGCUUUAGGACCUACCUGGAUAAUUCAGAAUAAUCUCCCCAUCUCAAGACCCUUAACAUAAUCACAUAUGCAAAGAACUUCUCUUUUCUUUAAUCAUAUGAGUUAACAUGUACAAAUUUCAGAGAUGAGAACAUGGAUAUCUUUAGGGUGCCAUUUUUUCAGUCCAUUGGAAAUGGUAGAUGUGGAAGAA